UCAGCCGCCACGCUCCAAACACCUCCCUGCGGUGUGAGCUGCCUGUUUCUGGCUGCAGGCUUGCUCCCUGUCCAUUUUACAGCAAUCGAGGUGAGGACGGUGGCCCGACCGGUAGGGCCAUAGCUGUGAAGUCCGAGAGACAUUCUGUGUGUGCCAAUCACGGGCAGCACGCCUGUGGGUGUGCCACGUACCCUCACGGAAUACUGUUCUCUCCCCAUGAAGCAGACGCGACAGUCGUGAGUUUCAAAUGAGAAAAUCCAAAGGAGGCAACCGUCAGUGCCCGGAGCCAGCUUCAGACCAGCCACUGCGGAUUGUCACUGGGCCCUCUAGCCGGCCCCCGGACCAGGGCGCAGGCCUCGGGGGGGGAAAGCGGCGGGCGCAGCUCACUGGCAGGUGUUCCAGACCUACAGGACCAUGUGAAAUUUGGUUUGGAGACAUGACUGCAUUUCAUCCUCAGGCUGAGCAUCCCUGCAGCAGGAAAGCCAAGAGUCAGAAGAGCAAAGCAGCUGGCCCGAGGUUCCACAGACAGCUGAUGGCCAGCUCCAGACUGCCUGGGUCUGGGUCCGCUUCGCUCCCCAAGAGCCAUCAUGUCAACCGCAUGCUCGAUUGAAGGGGGAUGGGCUCAUCCAGACACAGUACCCUUUGAUUCUCCAUCAUCCAGGAGCCUCCCCCAGAGAGAUGGAUUAGAAAAUGAACCCUUCCCUGACCAUCCCAGCCUCUGAACACUAAGGACAGUCAGAAGUGAGUCUGAAACAUUUUAAU
Canis lupus familiaris (dog) is the source of this 762-nucleotide long non-coding RNA. RefSeq lists it as uncharacterized. The record is from RefSeq and is a predicted model, not a curated record. NCBI's taxonomy places the organism in Eukaryota, Metazoa, Chordata, Mammalia, Carnivora, Canidae. The transcript is spliced from 3 exons.